RNAcentral lists this ribosomal RNA (438 nucleotides) under uncultured bacterium. RNAcentral describes it as "bacterial SSU rRNA". It matches the Rfam family "Bacterial small subunit ribosomal RNA", at positions 32 to 478 of the family's 1533-position model. The record is from RNAcentral.
AAUCAACGCUGGCGGCGUGCCUCAGACAUGCAAGUCGAACGAUUAAACUUCUCUUCGGAGAAGAUAUAAAGUGGCGCACGGGUGAGUAACACGUAGGUAAUGUACCUUUGGGUGGGGAAUAACUUAGGGAAACUUAAGCUAAUACCGCAUAAUGCAGCGGCUUCUUCGGAAGACAGUUGUUAAAGAUUUAUCGCCUAAAGAGCAGCCUGCGGCAGAUUAGCUAGUUGGUAAGGUAACGGCUUACCAAGGCGACGAUCUGUAUCCGACCUGAGAGGGUGGUCGGACACACUGACACUGAAUAACGGGUCAGACUCCUACGGGAGGCAGCAGUCGGGAAUUUUGGGCAAUGGGCGAAAGCCUGACCCAGCAACGCCGCGUGAAGGAUGAAGUCUUUCGGGAUGUAAACUUCGUAAGAAUAGGAAGAAUAAAUGACGGUAC